UACGGGGGGGGCAAGCGUUGUUCGGAAUUACUGGGCGUAAAGGGCUUGUAGGUGGCCAACUAAGUCAGACGUGAAAUCCCUCGGCUCAACCGAGGAACUGCAUCUGAUACUGGAUGGCUUGAGAUUGGGAGAGGGAUGCGGAAUUCCAGGUGUAGCGGUGAAAUGCGCAGAUAUCAGGAGGAACACCGGUGGCGAAGGCGGGUCUCUGGGCCGAUAUUGACGCUGAGGAGCGAAAGCGUGGGGAGCGAACAGG
RNAcentral lists this ribosomal RNA (253 nucleotides) under uncultured bacterium. RNAcentral's name for it is "partial 16S ribosomal RNA". It matches the Rfam family "Bacterial small subunit ribosomal RNA", at positions 524 to 776 of the family's 1533-position model. The record is from RNAcentral.